AACCAUUCUCACCUGCGGCUAGACCUGCGGAAGGAUCAUUACAAGUGACCCCGGUCUAACCACCGGGAUGUUCAUAACCCUUUGUUGUCCGACUCUGUUGCCUCCGGGGCGACCCUGCCUUCGGGCGGGGGCUCCGGGUGGACACUUCAAACUCUUGCGUAACUUUGCAGUCUGAGUAAACUUAAUUAAUAAAUUAAAACUUUUAACAACGGAUCU
This 216-nucleotide unclassified non-coding RNA is filed under the name soil metagenome. Its description in RNAcentral is "partial contains 5.8S ribosomal RNA, internal transcribed spacer 2, and large subunit ribosomal RNA". The record is from RNAcentral.